UGCAGAUGAUGUAAACGAAUAUUUGCUAUCUUAUUGACAGUGAUGAAUAUUUCCCACCAAGAUCGCUGAUGCA
Molecule: small nucleolar RNA, 73 nt
Organism: Labrus bergylta (ballan wrasse)
Lineage: Eukaryota; Metazoa; Chordata; Actinopteri; Labriformes; Labridae
Gene: SNORD24
Rfam family: Small nucleolar RNA SNORD24
About the family: U24 is a member of the C/D class of snoRNA which contain the C (UGAUGA) and D (CUGA) box motifs. C/D box snoRNAs have been shown to act as methylation guides for a number of RNA targets.
Source: Ensembl